UACGGAGGAGGCAAGCGUUAUCCGGAAUUAUUGGGCGUAAAGCGUGCGUAGGUGGUAAUUCAAGUCUGCUGUUAAAGCGUGAGGCUUAACCUCAUAAAGGCAGUGGAAACUGAAUUGCUAGAGAACAGAAGGGGCAACGGGAAUUCCUAGUGUAGCGGUGAAAUGCGUAGAGAUUAGGAAGAACACCAAUGGCGAAAGCACGUUGCUAGGCUGAUUCUGACACUGAGGGACGAAAGCUAGGGGAGCGAAAGGG
This 253-nucleotide ribosomal RNA is filed under the name uncultured bacterium. RNAcentral describes it as "partial 16S ribosomal RNA". It matches the Rfam family "Bacterial small subunit ribosomal RNA", at positions 524 to 776 of the family's 1533-position model. The record is from RNAcentral.